RNAcentral lists this ribosomal RNA (497 nucleotides) under uncultured bacterium. RNAcentral describes it as "partial 16S ribosomal RNA". It matches the Rfam family "Bacterial small subunit ribosomal RNA", at positions 28 to 507 of the family's 1533-position model. The record is from RNAcentral.
GAUGAACGCUGGCGGCGUGCCUAAUACAUGCAAGUCGAGCGAACAGACGAGGAGCCUGCUCCUCUGACGUUAGCGGCGGACGGGUGAGUAACACGUGGAUAACCUACCUAUAAGACUGGGAUAACUUCGGGAAACCGGAGCUAAUACCGGAUAAUAUAUUGAACCGCAUGGUUCAAUAGUGAAAGACGGUUUUGCUGUCACUUAUAGAUGGAUCCGCGCCGCAUUAGCUAGUUGGUAAGGUAACGGCUUACCAAGGCGACGAUGCGUAGCCGACCUGAGAGGGUGAUCGGCCACACUGGAACUGAGACACGGUCCAGACUCCUACGGGAGGCAGUAGUAGGGAAUCUUCCGCAAUGGGCGAAAGCCUGACGGAGCAACGCCGCGUGAGUGAUGAAGGUCUUCGGAUCGUAAAACUCUGUUAUUAGGGAAGAACAAAUGUGUAAGUAACUAUGCACGUCUCGACGGUACCUAAUCAGAAAGCCACGGCUAACUACGUG